UGGGAUAAAUAAAUUUAUUUUUUACAAGCAAAGCUUGAAGAUUACAGUAUAAGAACACUGGUUCGCUUUGAUGUAAGUAUAUAAAUGGAAACAUUAAUUUAUCAGAGACUUCUUCAUAUUAUAGAAGUCCUUAGACAAAAGGAUUAAACAUCACUUGGACUGUUUCAUUGCUAGUGAAAUAUAAUGUAUAAUCUGAAUGCCAUUACAUUGUAUCAAUAUUUCAAUUUUUGGGGAAUUUCUUAAAUUUAUCCGUUGUUUUCGAUUAGAAAAUUCCAAUGAAUAAGUUUAGUUCAUAGUAAGAAAGGUUAAUUUUAAACAAUAUUAUUAGAAGAUAUUUCCACCAAUUAUUAAGUAUGAAGAUUUUAGGUCAUACUCGUGAAUAUAACAUAAUGUGAAGAUAAA
RNAcentral lists this long non-coding RNA (402 nucleotides) under Mytilus galloprovincialis (Mediterranean mussel). The record is from RNAcentral. Lineage: Eukaryota; Metazoa; Mollusca; Bivalvia; Mytilida; Mytilidae.